GAAUAAUAUAAACCACACCUUAUUUUUACUAUCUUUACACGUUAGUGGUGUGUAUUUUUCUUACAGUUUGGCAAGCCAGCGUGGAGAGGAUUUUUCAGGACUGGAAGGCGAGCAUGCUGCAUCUCCAUUUCGAUGGGACCCAAAAUCCAUGCAAAAAGUUGUCAGAGGUCUUACCUCACAGGUCUAAAGUACUGGACAGACUCAUCAUUUUCAACACACUCAAUUUUUUCAACCUUCUUCAAUCACCAUCAUUACUGGACACUUUGCUGGACUUCUUUAUCUGUUGGUGAGAUCAUUCCUUUUCUGUUUUUUCUACUUUAAUUUGAUACUUUAUUUCCUGUAUUUUUUUUGCUUUUGUUCUUUUAUUACUUUGUUUGGUUUUCAGUCACAUUACUCUACUGGACUUGUUAGGCCUAACUUUCAUGCACCAUGCAUUGCCAUCCAGACUUAUUGUUACCAUCUGUGAUUUUUUCAUUGACCUUUAUCUUUGUCUGUCUGUCAGUGUUUCGAUUUUGU
This is a long non-coding RNA of Acipenser ruthenus (sterlet), 516 nucleotides long. RefSeq lists it as uncharacterized. Lineage: Eukaryota; Metazoa; Chordata; Actinopteri; Acipenseriformes; Acipenseridae. The transcript has 3 exons. The record is from RefSeq and is a predicted model, not a curated record.